RNAcentral lists this small RNA (20 nucleotides) under Arabidopsis thaliana (thale cress). RNAcentral's name for it is "ATSL249600". Lineage: Eukaryota; Viridiplantae; Streptophyta; Magnoliopsida; Brassicales; Brassicaceae. The record is from RNAcentral.
UUUGAUUUUUUUUUGGUUUU